AACAAGGCGUACCUGCGGACCUGCGGAAGGAUCAUUACUGAGUCACGUGCUCAAACAACCCUUCUGUGGACCUGAAAUAAAACCGUUGCCUCGGCGGGCGGUCCCCCCCAAACCAACCCCACGUGGUGGGUUAGGGGAGACCAGACAGUCCGGUACGCUUAAGGCGUCCGGCGCCAGCCGCUGGCCCCAAACAAUUAAACUCUAGUAAUCUUUAUCUUCUGAGUUUCAAUAUUUAAAAAU
This 240-nucleotide unclassified non-coding RNA is filed under the name soil metagenome. RNAcentral's name for it is "partial contains 5.8S ribosomal RNA, internal transcribed spacer 2, and large subunit ribosomal RNA". The record is from RNAcentral.